This 497-nucleotide ribosomal RNA is filed under the name uncultured bacterium. Its description in RNAcentral is "partial 16S ribosomal RNA". It matches the Rfam family "Bacterial small subunit ribosomal RNA", at positions 28 to 507 of the family's 1533-position model. The record is from RNAcentral.
GAUGAACGCUGGCGGCGUGCCUAAUACAUGCAAGUCGAGCGAACGGACGAGAAGCUUGCUUCUCUGAUGUUAGCGGCGGACGGGUGAGUAACACGUGGAUAACCUACCUAUAAGACUGGGAUAACUUCGGGAAACCGGAGCUAAUACCGGAUAAUAUUUUGAACCGCAUGGUUCAAAAGUGAAAGACGGUCUUGCUGUCACUUAUAGAUGGAUCCGCGCUGCAUUAGCUAGUUGGUAAGGUAACGGCUUACCAAGGCAACGAUGCAUAGCCGACCUGAGAGGGUGAUCGGCCACACUGGAACUGAGACACGGUCCAGACUCCUACGGGAGGCAGCAGUAGGGAAUUUUCCGCAAUGGGCGAAAGCCUGACGGAGCAACGCCGCGUGAGUGAUGAAGGUCUUCGGAUCGUAAAACUCUGUUAUUAGGGAAGAACAUAUGUGUAAGUAACUGUGCACAUCUUGACGGUACCUAAUCAGAAAGCCACGGCUAACUACGUG